GAGGAAAGAGGGAGGCGUGCUUAACACAUGCAAGUCGAACGGAAAGGCCCUGCUUUUGUGGGGUGCUCGAGUGGCGAACGGGUGAGUAACACGUGAGUAACCUGCCCUUGACUUUGGGAUAACUUCAGGAAACUGGGGCUAAUACCGGAUAGGAGCUCCUGCUGCAUGGUGGGGGUUGGAAAGUUUCGGCGGUUGGGGAUGGACUCGCGGCUUAUCAGCUUGUUGGUGGGGUAGUGGCUUACCAAGGCUUUGACGGGUAGCCGGCCUGAGAGGGUGACCGGCCACAUUGGGACUGAGAUACGGCCCAGACUCCUACGGGAGGCAGCAGUGGGGAAUAUUGCACAGUGGGCGGAAGCCUGAUGCGGCAACGCCGCGUGCGGGAUGACGGCCUUCGGGGUGUAAACCGCUUUCGCCUGUGACGAAGCGGGAGUGACGGUAAUGGGUAAAGAAGCACCGGCUAACUACGUG
RNAcentral lists this ribosomal RNA (468 nucleotides) under uncultured bacterium. Its description in RNAcentral is "partial 16S ribosomal RNA". It matches the Rfam family "Bacterial small subunit ribosomal RNA", at positions 38 to 507 of the family's 1533-position model. The record is from RNAcentral.